GAUGAAGAACGUAGCGAAAUGCGAUAAGUAAUGUGAAUUGUAGAAUUCAGUGAAUCAUCGAAUCUUUGAACGCACAUUGCGCCCGGCAGUACUCUGCCGGGCAUGCCUGUUCGAGCGUCAUUUCAACCCUCAAGCCCUGCUUGGUGUUGGGGUCCCACGGCCGCCGUGGGCCCUGAAAGGAAGUGGCGGGCUCGCUACAACUCCGAGCGUAGUAAUUCAUUAUCUCGCUUAGGGCGUUGGGCGGCGCUCCUGCCGUUAAAGAACCAUCUUUAACUCAAGGUUGACCUCGGAUCAGGUAGGAAUACCCGCUGAACUUAAGCAUAUCAAUAAGCGGAGGA
Molecule: unclassified non-coding RNA, 338 nt
Filed under: soil metagenome
Description: partial contains 5.8S ribosomal RNA, internal transcribed spacer 2, and large subunit ribosomal RNA
Rfam family: 5.8S ribosomal RNA (bases 1-120)
Source: RNAcentral